Molecule: ribosomal RNA, 921 nt
Filed under: bacterium
Lineage: Bacteria
Description: bacterial SSU rRNA
Rfam family: Bacterial small subunit ribosomal RNA
Source: RNAcentral
CAUGCAGUCGAACGGCAGCAUGAUCUAGCUUGCUAGAUUGAUGGCGAGUGGCGAACGGGUGAGUAAUACAUCGGAACGUGCCCUGUAGUGGGGGAUAACUAGUCGAAAGAUUAGCUAAUACCGCAUACGACCUGAGGGUGAAAGUGGGGGACCGCAAGGCCUCAUGCUAUAGGAGCGGCCGAUGUCUGAUUAGCUAGUUGGUGAGGUAAAGGCUCACCAAGGCGACGAUCAGUAGCUGGUCUGAGAGGACGAUCAGCCACACUGGGACUGAGACACGGCCCAGACUCCUACGGGAGGCAGCAGUGGGGAAUUUUGGACAAUGGGCGAAAGCCUGAUCCAGCAAUGCCGCGUGUGUGAAGAAGGCCUUCGGGUUGUAAAGCACUUUUGUCCGGAAAGAAAUGGCUCUGGUUAAUACCUGGGGUCGAUGACGGUACCGGAAGAAUAAGGACCGGCUAACUACGUGCCAGCAGCCGCGGUAAUACGUAGGGUCCAAGCGUUAAUCGGAAUUACUGGGCGUAAAGCGUGCGCAGGCGGUUGUGCAAGACCGAUGUGAAAUCCCCGAGCUUAACUUGGGAAUUGCAUUGGUGACUGCACGGCUAGAGUGUGUCAGAGGGGGGUAGAAUUCCACGUGUAGCAGUGAAAUGCGUAGAGAUGUGGAGGAAUACCGAUGGCGAAGGCAGCCCCCUGGGAUAACACUGACGCUCAUGCACGAAAGCGUGGGGAGCAAACAGGAUUAGAUACCCUGGUAGUCCACGCCCUAAACGAUGUCAACUAGUUGUUGGGGAUUCAUUUCCUUAGUAACGUAGCUAACGCGUGAAGUUGACCGCCUGGGGAGUACGGUCGCAAGAUUAAAACUCAAAGGAAUUGACGGGGACCCGCACAAGCGGUGGAUGAUGUGGAUUAAUUCGAUGCAACGCGAAA